Molecule: ribosomal RNA, 373 nt
Filed under: uncultured organism
Description: partial 16S ribosomal RNA
Rfam family: Bacterial small subunit ribosomal RNA
Source: RNAcentral
GUAGGUGGCAAGCGUUGUCCGGAAUUAUUGGGCGUAAAGCGCGCGCAGGCGGUCCUUUAAGUCUGAUGUGAAAGCCCACGGCUCAACCGUGGAGGGUCAUUGGGAACUGGGGGACUUGAGUGCAGAAGAGGAGAGUGGAAUUCCACGUGUAGCGGUGAAAUGCGUAGAGAUGUGGAGGAACACCAGUGGCGAAGGCGACUCUCUGGUCUGUAACUGACGCUGAGGCGCGAAAGCGUGGGGGGAGCGAACAGGAUUAGAUACCCUGGUAGUCCACGCCGUAAACGAUGAGUGCUAAGUGUUAGAGGGUUUCCCGCCUUUAGUGCUGCAGCUAACGCAUUAAGCACUCCGCCUGGGGAGUACGGUCGCAAGACUG